Molecule: ribosomal RNA, 253 nt
Filed under: uncultured bacterium
Lineage: Bacteria
Description: partial 16S ribosomal RNA
Rfam family: Bacterial small subunit ribosomal RNA
Source: RNAcentral
UACGUAGGGCGCAAGCGUUGUCCGGAAUUAUUGGGCGUAAAGAGCUCGUAGGCGGUUUGUCACGUCGGAUGUGAAAGCCCGGGGCUUAACCCCGGGUCUGCAUUCGAUACGGGCAGACUGGAGUGUGGUAGGGGAGAUCGGAAUUCCUGGUGUAGCGGUGAAAUGCGCAGAUAUCAGGAGGAACACCGGUGGCGAAGGCGGAUCUCUGGGCCAUAACUGACGCUGAGAAGCGAAAGCAUGGGGAGCGAACAGG